CUCUCGCGCAUUUCGUCUCCUCAAAGGGAUGAGGGGAGAAAAACCGAUUAUUUGGUGCAAUCUUUUGUUGAGAGCGGCUGUGAUUUUUUUGAGUUGAGCGUCUAUUUACAUGUUUAUUCCUUUUAAAAGUGGUUUUUCAGUGUUUUUAAAGACAGAUCAAAACAUUCCUGAAGUUGCUGGAGAAGGACCCAUUGCCUUAAAAAUGUGCUGGACGAAAAAGUAGUCCAGGAGUAAUUGUUUAAAAUGCCUCAAAGGAGCAUUGGUGCUUAUUAACCUGAUCGAGUCGGUUAAGGAAGGCCCUAAAAAUCUAGAAAUUCUGUGUAAAAUAAAUAUAUUUACUUUUUUU
Drosophila obscura is the source of this 346-nucleotide long non-coding RNA. RefSeq lists it as uncharacterized. The transcript has 3 exons. Lineage: Eukaryota; Metazoa; Arthropoda; Insecta; Diptera; Drosophilidae. The record is from RefSeq and is a predicted model, not a curated record.